RNAcentral lists this long non-coding RNA (243 nucleotides) under Phaseolus vulgaris (common bean). Its description in RNAcentral is "long non-coding RNA (PVUL_LNC004883)". The record is from RNAcentral. Lineage: Eukaryota; Viridiplantae; Streptophyta; Magnoliopsida; Fabales; Fabaceae.
CACAAAUGAGCACAUGGGGAGGGGUGUGUCUAGUUUUUAUGCUCACCCCCUCCAUGGGCUUUCUAGACCGGCCUUGGUAAAUUUAGAUGUUUUUUUUUAGAAACUCUAAGUUUACCUAGGUUGGUGUUUUAGGUGCCAAAAUUAAUUCUAAGAAAAUUACAAAUAAAGUUCCUAUGCUAAUUUUGACAAGAAAUUAAAGUCUACUCUACACUAGAGUUUAUGGCAUUUGAACAUGUAAAAGAA